CACGUAGGGUGCGAGCGUUGUCCGGAAUUAUUGGGCGUAAAGAGCUCGUAGGCGGUUUGUUGCGUCUAUCGUGAAAACCUGCAGCUUAACUGUGGGCUUGCGGUGGAUACGGGCAGACUUGAGUUCGGUAGGGGAGACUGGAAUUCCUGGUGUAGCGGUGAAAUGCGCAGAUAUCAGGAGGAACACCGGUGGCGAAGGCGGGUCUCUGGGCCGAAACUGACGCUGAGGAGCGAAAGCGUGGGGAGCGAACAGG
Molecule: ribosomal RNA, 253 nt
Filed under: uncultured bacterium
Lineage: Bacteria
Description: partial 16S ribosomal RNA
Rfam family: Bacterial small subunit ribosomal RNA
Source: RNAcentral